RNAcentral lists this ribosomal RNA (403 nucleotides) under uncultured bacterium. RNAcentral describes it as "bacterial SSU rRNA". It matches the Rfam family "Bacterial small subunit ribosomal RNA", at positions 362 to 758 of the family's 1533-position model. The record is from RNAcentral.
UAUUGGACAAUGGGCGAAAGCCUGAUCCAGCAAUACCGCGUGUGUGAAGAAGGCCUUAGGGUUGUAAAGCACUUUCAAUUGGGAGGAAAACCUACCGGUCAAUACCCGGUAGCUUGACAUUACCUUUAGAAGAAGCACCGGCUAACUCCGUGCCAGCAGCCGCGGUAAUACGGAGGGUGCGAGCGUUAAUCGGAAUUACUGGGCGUAAAACGUGCGUAGGCGGUUCGUUAAGUCAGAUGUGAAAGCCCUGGGCUCAACCUGGGAACGGCAUUUGAAACUGGCGGACUAGAGCUUAGUAGAGGGGAGUGGAAUUUCAGGUGUAGCGGUGAAAUGCGUAGAUAUCUGAAGGAACACCAGUGGCGAAGGCGACUCCCUGGACUAGAACUGACGCUGAGGUACGAUG